AGAGUUUGAUCAUGGCUCAGAACGAACGCUGGCGGCAGGCUUAACACAUGCAAGUCGAACGCGUGUAGCAAUACACGAGUGGCGCACGGGUGAGUAACGCGUGGAUAUCUGCCUUUUGGUUCGGAAUAACCCCGGGAAACUGGGGCUAAUACCGGAUGGUUCCUACGGGAUAAAGAUUUAUCGCCAAAAGAUGAGUCCGCGUACGAUUAGCUAGUUGGGAGGUAAUGGCUCACCAAGGCGACGAUCGUUAGCUGGCUGAGAGGACGAUCAGCCACACUGGGACUGAGACACGGCCCAGACUCCUACGGGAGGCAGCAGUGGGGAAUAUUGGACAAUGGGGGCAACCCUGAUCCAGCCAUGCCGCGUGAGUGAUGAAGGCCUUCGGGUUGUAAAGCUCUUUUGGCGGGGACGAUGAUGACGGUACCCGCAGAAUAAGCCCCGGCUAACUUCGUGCCAGCAGCCGCGGUAAGACGAAGGGGGCUAGCGUUGUUCGGAAUUACUGGGCGUAAAGCGAGUGUAGGUGGUUGUCCAAGUUGGAUGUGAAAGCCUUGAGCUCAACUCAAGAAAUGCAUUCAGGACUGGAUGACUAGAGGACCGGAGAGGAUAGUGGAAUUCCCAGUGUAGUGGUGAAAUACGUAGAUAUUUGGGAAGAACACCAGUGGCGAAGGCGGCUAUCUGGGACGGUUUCUGACACUAAGACUCGAAAGCGUGGGGAGCAAACAGGAUUAGAUACCCUAGUAGUCC
This 744-nucleotide ribosomal RNA is filed under the name uncultured bacterium. Its description in RNAcentral is "bacterial SSU rRNA". It matches the Rfam family "Bacterial small subunit ribosomal RNA", at positions 8 to 796 of the family's 1533-position model. The record is from RNAcentral.